Molecule: ribosomal RNA, 391 nt
Filed under: uncultured bacterium
Lineage: Bacteria
Description: bacterial SSU rRNA
Rfam family: Bacterial small subunit ribosomal RNA
Source: RNAcentral
AGAGUUUGAUCCUGGCUCAGAACGAACGCUGGCGGCAGGCUUAACACAUGCAAGUCGAACGCACCGCAAGGUGAGUGGCAGACGGGUGAGUAACGCGUGGGAACCUUCCCUGUGGUACGGAAUAACUUCGGGAAACCGAAGCUAAUACCGUAUAUCCCCUCCGGGGGAAAGAUUUAUCGCCAUAGGAUGGGCCCGCGUUGGAUUAGCUAGUUGGUAGGGUAAUGGCCUACCAAGGCAACGAUCCAUAGUUGGUCUGAGAGGAUGAUCAGCCACGCUGGGACUGAGACACGGCCCAGACUCCUACGGGAGGCAGCAGUGGGGAAUAUUGGACAAUGGGCGCAAGCCUGAUCCAGCCAUGCCGCGUGAGUGAAGAAGGCCUUAGGGUUGUAAA